GCGGGCAUGGCGGAAUUGGCAGACGCGCUAGAUUCAGGUUCUAGUGGGGGAAACCCUGUGGAUGUUCGAGUCAUCUUGCCCGCAUCA
Molecule: transfer RNA, 87 nt
Filed under: Estrella lausannensis
Lineage: Bacteria; Pseudomonadati; Chlamydiota; Chlamydiia; Parachlamydiales; Candidatus Criblamydiaceae
Description: tRNA-Leu
Rfam family: tRNA
About the family: Transfer RNA (tRNA) molecules are approximately 80 nucleotides in length. Their secondary structure includes four short double-helical elements and three loops (D, anti-codon, and T loops).
Source: RNAcentral